RNAcentral lists this long non-coding RNA (220 nucleotides) under Nicotiana benthamiana. RNAcentral describes it as "long non-coding RNA (NBEN_LNC026405)". Lineage: Eukaryota; Viridiplantae; Streptophyta; Magnoliopsida; Solanales; Solanaceae. The record is from RNAcentral.
AUUAUUAUGAAAAUCAAAAUCAACCUCCCAGGGCUUUAAAACCAUCGGCUUAUUUCUAUAGGUGUAAGGCCCUGAUUGCAACACCAGAUCUCUAUCCUCAGUGCUAUUAAAACGAAAAAUACAGUAGCCUUCAGCAUGCAUUAAAACUUGAGGUUUAGCAACAAAGUUCCAUACAUACAUGACAAAGCUUUCCAUAUUCCUCUCACUGGGAUUAUCACCU